AUUGAACGCUGGCGGCAGGCUUAACACAUGCAAGUCGAGCGGAGAGAGGUAGCUUGCUACUGAUCUUAGCGGCGGACGGGUGAGUAAUGCUUAGGAAUCUGCCUAUUAGUGGGGGACAACAUUUCGAAAGGAAUGCUAAUACCGCAUACGUCCUACGGGAGAAAGCAGGGGAUCUUCGGACCUUGCGCUAAUAGAUGAGCCUAAGUCGGAUUAGCUAGUUGGUGGGGUAAAGGCCUACCAAGGCGACGAUCUGUAGCGGGUCUGAGAGGAUGAUCCGCCACACUGGGACUGAGACACGGCCCAGACUCCUACGGGAGGCAGCAGUGGGGAAUAUUGGACAAUGGGCGCAAGCCUGAUCCAGCCAUGCCGCGUGUGUGAAGAAGGCCUUAUGGUUGUAAAGCACUUUAAGCGAGGAGGAGGCUACUUUAGUUAAUACCUAGAGAUAGUGGACGUUACUCGCAGAAUAAGCACCGGCUAACUCUGUGCCAGCAGCCGCGGUAAUACAGAGGGUGCAAGCGUUAAUCGGAUUUACUGGGCGUAAAGCGCGCGUAGGCGGCUAAUUAAGUCAAAUGUGAAAUCCCCGAGCUUAACUUGGGAAUUGCAUUCGAUACUGGUUAGCUAGAGUGUGGGAGAGGAUGGUAGAAUUCCAGGUGUAGCGGUGAAAUGCGUAGAGAUCUGGAGGAAUACCGAUGGCGAAGGCAGCCAUCUGGCCUAACACUGACGCUGAGGUGCGAAAGCAUGGGGAGCAAACAGGAUUAGAUACCCUGGUAGUCCAUGCCGUAAACGAUGUCUACUAGCCGUUGGGGCCUUUGAGGCUUUAGUGGCGCAGCUAACGCGAUAAGUAGACCGCCUGGGGAGUACGGUCGCAAGACUAAAACUCAAAUGAAUUGACGGGGGCCCGCACAAGCGGUGGAGCAUGUGGUUUAAUUCGAUGCAACGCGAAGAACCUUACCUGGCCUUGACAUAGUAAGAACUUUCCAGAGAUGGAUUGGUGCCUUCGGGAACUUACAUACAGGUGCUGCAUGGCUGUCGUCAGCUCGUGUCGUGAGAUGUUGGGUUAAGUCCCGCAACGAGCGCAACCCUUUUCCUUAUUUGCCAGCGAGUAAUGUCGGGAACUUUAAGGAUACUGCCAGUGACAAACUGGAGGAAGGCGGGGACGACGUCAAGUCAUCAUGGCCCUUACGGCCAGGGCUACACACGUGCUACAAUGGUCGGUACAAAGGGUUGCUACCUAGCGAUAGGAUGCUAAUCUCAAAAAGCCGAUCGUAGUCCGGAUUGGAGUCUGCAACUCGACUCCAUGAAGUCGGAAUCGCUAGCAAUCGCGGAUCAGAAUGCCGCGGUGAAUACGUUCCCGGGCCU
Molecule: ribosomal RNA, 1359 nt
Filed under: uncultured bacterium
Lineage: Bacteria
Description: bacterial SSU rRNA
Rfam family: Bacterial small subunit ribosomal RNA
Source: RNAcentral